UUUUCCCCUAUUGUUGCUGCACGGCAGUGAGUAUAUGUGUGUGAGUUUUCCAUUUACAUUUUCCACCUUCUGGCCAAAACGGUUGGGUAGCUGUUGUGCGUCGCUCGUACUGCGCAGUUUUCCUUUCAGAUCGUGUGUGAGUAAAGGAGCAACAGCAAGAGCGAGAUGAAAGACAAUCCCAUAAAAAAGGGAAAACAAGUGUAAACAAACGAAGGACGCCAGCCCUCGAGAGUACGCCCGCACACCGGGGCGGGAGGUUUUCCGUGUGCGAAAUGAAAGAAAAAACCCCGGCCACCCGUCUAAUCCUUCUCUCCGGGGACGAAGGAGUGUCAGAGCGAAACGGCACACAACGGCACGCGACCCAUCAGUUUCGGUGAAGGAAUGUUGCCUUCACGGCUGUUUUUCGCACCGAAACAGUCCGUUCGGGGUAGGAAAAUCAUCAUUUCUCCAUCUACCCUGGAGGUGAAAAUUGAGGGUGGAUAAAGCUAAUUUAAUUAGGCGCUGAUUGACUGUACAGUAUUGCAUUUCGAUCACGAAAACGAUAACCGAGCACCAGCAAACAUGCGACCUAUCCCCUGGAGAAUGAAACAUCAUCCCUACGAGAAGGCCAAGAUUCCCUCAUCAUUAUUAUGUUAUUCGAAUACGUUGCCAUCCCGCUAGAGAAUUUCCGGUGUGCACAGCGAACAGAAAAAAAGGCCCGGAAAUGGUGCGGGAAAAACUUCCCAAAGCCCUCGACAAUAAUAUCGGCUGUCCGCUAUCGGUAGAUCAGCACUAUCGUCACAGAUUUCUCCUCACUUCACUCUUUGUAGUAUGGAUGUGUCAAGUGACUGGCCAUGGCAAGCGAGUGAAAUAGAAAAAAAGAGCCCGAGCCCAAUGCUAAGGGAUAUCGGUAACCGAAACAGCGGUACGAUACAAGUAAUAAUACAAUAAUAGAAUAAAACCAAUCAAAAAUCAAUUUGAUAGUCCUUCAACCGAUUCCUUCGUUAUCCUUUACACGCUGUGCGUGCCGGAAGGCACCCGGCUCGAGUUCGGUAACCCGAUUUUGCCGGGUUUCCGGUAUCGAUGUAAGGUUCCCCAAGGAUUGACGGUUGCCUCGUGCAUCGUAUCCUUAUCGCAAGAUCAAUUUCAUCUUCUUCGGCUAGCGUGACCACUAAACCGUGUUGAAGGGUAUCGCCUCACGAUUGGCUUCGGGGCAAAAGUGGAAAGCUGCGUAAAGCCAAGGGAAACCCCACGAUACCCAGCCGCAUGAAUCGGAUGGUCGAGUAAACGGAAAAAGUGUCGGACGGCGCAUGGAUGGGAAAAAUUAAAUAAUAAACAUUAAUCUCCUUGUGGAGUAUGGAGCAAAAUCGGAUACCGCUGAAGGUUUGCCUUCCGAAUGCGCUGUUACAUUGUGCCGUCCUUGUCUGUUCUUUCGGCUCGGUCUAUUCAGCGUUUAAUCAGCGCCCGAGGUCAAUCCGACAGGAUAAAGCUAAUUGUGAACGUCAUCGCCCAGAUUCCUUCGCAUCGAAGUUUGAGGUAAGGAGAUCAAGCUCUCUAGCGAGGAUUGAGAGUAGAGUGGCUAGUUUCCAGCAAGGUCUAACUUAAAUUACAGUAACAUGUAGAAGAGCAAUGCUUAAGCAAAAAAUUUAUAUUUAUUCCUAACUUUAAAGGGAUGACCAAGGAAAUAGCGGUGACAAUCUUCACACGACAGGACCGGGGAUCAAACCCCUUUCAGAACGUUUUUAAAGAUUCUUUUUAUACAUGUCGGACAGCCGUAUUGCUUCUGAUAAAACUCCAAUUUCAGAUGAUAAAAAUUUCACCUAACUUUGUAAAUUUUGUAAAGUUGUUUUAAGUAAUAAUUAUUGAAACUGUAAUAUUUAGAAGCUUUAUACUGCGAACUUACAAUAUUACAUGAUAUACUUUUGGUUUAUUUAAUAUGAGGAUUAUUCUUUACAUAAAAUGUUGUAAAAAAAUAACAAAAAACUCGAAAAGAAACAGGAGUAAACUUGACACUUACGAAGGCUUCGAGUUAUCAUAAAAAAUAUAAAAUUGUAUAUUAUAACAUAGAAUAUACUCAAUGUAUAAUCAAAACUUAUCAUAAAUCUUCGUAACUCAUCUCAAUACAUUUGAACUUUUACUCAAAAGCAAUAGUUAUAGGUAUGAAUAUUAUUUCAUUGCUCGUUACUCAUAGUAUAAUAAUACAAAUAUUAACUAUCGAAUAAAUAAUGCUCGAGAGAAGACUUUGAGAUGAUUGAGCUGGAUAAGUGUAUUAUACAUGAGCAAAUGAACGUCACAAUGAACUGUCAACCUAUUGUCAACUAUUGUCAAGCUAAAAUCGCAGGAAAUUGAAACCUUCCGGAGGCUAGAAGUAGAACAACUACUUAGAAGAAGUUGAAGCUUCAUUUCCUCUAGGAAAAGAAUUCCAGAUAUUUAUUAACUGGGACUUCACGCUAUUUUUUCACGUAUUCCUGACAGUUUUAUCAUCGAUCUUCUUUGAGAAAAAUAUCCAUCAAAUACUCUUCUUUAAAAAAAAAAACACUACAUUGAUCCAUUAACGUUACCUAGAUCGUUCAUACAAACCAAAUGAAAAUAAAUAACCCCUAUUGCCACCCUUUCUCUUCCAUCUGAAAGAUAGAGCUAUAGUCGCGCAUAAAAAAACACACAACCAAAUCGAUUCCCCCUUCAAUAGUCCUGUUGUGAAUCAUCAUGCACUCCCCAGGAUGCACCACAAACCUAGUGCCAUACCGUUGGGUCGGGUAUCCAAAUCGCAUGAACCAUUUCCCGUACCGUAAUCAUUUGCACCAUCUUCGAAGCGAAGCAAUGAACGCAACCCAACGGAAAACUCACCGCCUCAUGAUUACACGACGCAGUGGGAAUCCUUUGCCUUGUACGUUUGCUCUCGAUCGGUGACACUAGCACCCGCAACAACAUCGAAAGCAGAAGUAACAACAACCAAAAAGGAUGGUCACCAUUUACAGCUGUUAUCAAUUUGCUGUAAUAAAAUUUUAUGCCAACAGCACCCCGUAGCCUGACGCUCAAACCUCAUAAAAAUGAUACGACAAAAUGAUGUUUUAUUUAACGAGACGUGGCGUCGAAGAGUGGAAGAGGUUGAAAACAGGAGGGAAAAGAAAACUCCACACACUAGUCUCAGGGCAAUAUCCAAAUCGAGUAUACGAGGGUCGAGUGAACGAACUGGCAGCCGAACAGGAACCCAGUUAUUCCGUUCAAUAAAUAUGUCCUUUUUUUGGAACCAAAAGAGGACAAACACUGACUCUGCAUGGGGUAUGUUUCCAAGGAAAAUAAAGAUGUAAAUGCGAUCAGAGUGCUGUGUGCAGAUUAUAAUAUUUUUCACGCUUUUCUGGUAAACAUACGGAAAACAUUCACAGAAAAUAUGUUUUGACUCAAGAUUUGGAAAAACAGACGAGAAAAAUGUCCUCAACAUUUAACAAUUCAACCUCAACAUUUCUAUUGCUAAAUAUUUCAUAUCUAUGAAAAUCAAUAACUUAACAAAUCUUUCCCACCAUUUUUAUCACUAACUCCUUUAAAACUUUUUUGCCCUACUUUUCCCUGUGCUACAAUUUUUCCUGUACAUCGACCCAAAAAAGGCCUCGAAAGUACACUUUGUGCAAAUGUCCAUCGCAAUGGCCAAUUUAACCAAUCGAGUGAACUUGUUUCGGCUUACCCUUUUCUCCCACGAAUAGCUGGAAAAUCACCCCAAAGGAAAUGGGAGAGAAAAAAAAAAUGCCUGUACGCAUAGUCGCAAAGGACGAAGGUGCUGGUAGAACAUGCAAAACUUCUUUACACUCCAUUACACCCUUCGGGUAAGCAAUAUGGCAGGCAAGGGUUCGACAUGUUCGGUGCUGAAACGAAGUGUGAAAAUGAAGUUUUUCUUCGUCGAUGGAAAAACCCGUCGAUUUGUUUGGCCCACCUCGGGGGGGUUAAAGGACCAGCGCAGACCCUUGCUAACGUUACUUCGAAUCGCGCGGACGUGUGGUUGGCAGGGAAAUGUAAAUUGAGUGUAAAUGUAAAACUUAAAUCACAAUACCACAAGAGAAAGGAAACAGUGGAAACUCGGUUGAGUGUGGAACGCUUGGCACGCACAAAAACUGAUCCCAACGAAGGUGUUGAUUGUCCAUCCGGGAAUGAUUUGAAGAGAGGGUAAAAGAUUUCAAAGUCUUUAGGGUUGAAGGGGUUGAAGAUUCGUUUUUCUUUUGUAGGGAAAUAAAAUGCACAAUGUUAAUAAGUAUAAGUUAAAGAAAACAAAUUAUUUAAUAAAAACACAUCAAUUGAAAAUAGAGUCAAAAAAGGUAAAAAAUAAAAUAAA
Molecule: long non-coding RNA, 4303 nt
Organism: Anopheles stephensi (Asian malaria mosquito)
Lineage: Eukaryota; Metazoa; Arthropoda; Insecta; Diptera; Culicidae
Exons: 2
Source: RefSeq, a predicted model, not a curated record